UACGGGAGGCAGCAGUGGGGAAUAUUGCACAAUGGGCGCAAGCCUGAUGCAGCCAUGCCGCGUGUAUGAAGAAGGCCUUCGGGUUGUAAAGUACUUUCAGUCGUGAGGAAGGUGUUAAGGUUAAUAACCUUAGCAAUUGACGUUAGCGACAGAAGAAGCACCGGCUAACUCCGUGCCAGCAGCCGCGGUAAUACGGAGGGUGCGAGCGUUAAUCGGAAUUACUGGGCGUAAAGGGCACGCAGGCGGUUAAUUAAGUUGGAUGUGAAAUCCCCGGGCUUAACCUGGGAAUGGCAUUCAAGACUGGUUAGCUAGAGUCUUGUAGAGGGGGUAGAAUUCCAUGUGUGGCGGUGAAUGCGUAGAGAUGUGGAGGAAUACCGGUGGCGAAGGCGGCCCCGUGGACCGAAAGACUGACGCUCAUGUGCGAAAGCGUGGGGAGCGAAACAGGGAUUAGAUACC
Molecule: ribosomal RNA, 456 nt
Filed under: uncultured bacterium
Lineage: Bacteria
Description: bacterial SSU rRNA
Rfam family: Bacterial small subunit ribosomal RNA
Source: RNAcentral